RNAcentral lists this long non-coding RNA (2489 nucleotides) under Homo sapiens (human). RNAcentral describes it as "PREDICTED lncRNA (TCONS_00191777)". The record is from RNAcentral. Lineage: Eukaryota; Metazoa; Chordata; Mammalia; Primates; Hominidae.
GAAGCCAGGCCAAGAAGAAUCCCAGGACUGGAAGGCCUUGUGGGACGUCCCAGGUUUGUCUUGUGUCAAUAGCACUGAUACUCAAUCUCCUACUCCCAUCUGUGAGCAUGCAGACCCUACUUGCCUUCCCACAGCCUCCCUUUUCAUAUUUUUCAUGUUUCUUUAGCUCUGUCUUCAAGCCUUGUUGCUCCCGCAAAAAAACCUGCCUCUUCCUCCAGUCCUCCCAAGCAGGGGGAACAGUCCUGACACCUUUCCAAGCCCUGGUCCAUGGACAUUGUGCCCCCUUCUCCCUGCCCAUGGUGACCUGCUCCAAAACCCUCAAGGAGAAGGGAGUGUAUGUCAUUUCCUCCCUGUAAAGUAAAGAUAAUUUUGCAGGGGACUGUGUGGAUGAAAUGACAUGAUGCAUGGAAAUCCCUUAGCGUGUGCCUGGCAUGUAAACUGCAGGUGUCAUCAUUAUUACUGAGGAAUACUGAGUCCCGAACAUGGCUGUCUCAUUGGUGGACUGGGGUCUCCCCCAGGGCAUUCAUCUACUAUGUGUUUAUUGCACCCUUUUUCCAUGUGAGGCACAUGCCAGGGACUGGGCACAUGGUAUGAACAAGACACAGGUCAUCGGUGUCCUCUUGAGCUCCCUGGCUUGGCAGCAGAUGCAUACCUGGGAAGGAUGCUAGGUCAUCCGGGAACUCUACCUCCUUCAAAUCCCUAAGGACUGUGCUCCCAAUCCGCUUACGCUCAAGGAAGAACUGCCUGGAAGCCCUCCCUGGUACCAUACCCCAGCCGAUGAGUAUGUACCCCCAGAAGUACUUCCGCUCAGAGAAGAAGGAGACGGCAAGCAGGGUGUACAGGAAGGCCCAGAACCAGCCUGCUGUCAGGAUCAGAACAAAAGAGGAGGACUGCAUAUGUAUGGACCCACUCCAGAUGGCACGGGGACGGGGGGAGUAGGAAAAGUGGCAUGGUCCCUUCCCGUGGAUAUAAUUCUUCCCAGGCCUGUUGUGUGAGUUGGUGAUGCCAUCAUUCCUGCCUCACACUUGCAAACUUCCCUCUUUGGAAUUUCAGAGACCAGGCCCACAGAGUAUGGCUGUGCAAGUUGUUCACUCUACAAGGGCACCUGGCCGGGGUCUUACCUUGAAUGGAGGAGAAGAGCUUGAAGAUGAGGGGACAGGCCAAGACAACUACCUGGCCCCGAGGGGUGGCUGGCCAGCAGAUGAGGAAAUGGAGGCACAGACUGAUUAGAAAACCAGCUCAAGGUCAUGUUGCUGGGCUCUCUGGUGGAGCCUCUGUCUCACAGGUCACCUGCAGGCCAACACUCCCAGAAGCAGCUAGCACCAUGGUUGACCUCGUCCAGGUCCAGGGAAGGCCUCCCUCUCCAGGACUCCUUUAGAUUUCCCCAGCAUCCAGACCUCACCUGCCUAAGUGCUGUUGCCCUGGAAGCCACAGUGAGCACGAGCUCCAUCUUGCACCUUUACCAGCCAAUGGGGGUAAAGACAUUAGCUGGGUUACUCAGGCUGAAAUGCUCAAGACACUCUGUCUCAAGGGAUUUGUGGCUGUUUCAUCCUCAAGUAUAGGGGGAAUAGUGGCCAGGAAGAUCUCAGAGGUGGCUUCUGGAAGAGGAAUCUGGGUACUGGCUACCCUGCCUUGUGUCCCAUCAUUGGUCUGUCUUGCCUGUCUUGGAGCACAUUUCUCACCAAGGCCAUGUUCAAUCCCCUCAAGGGAAGCCUGAGACCACAGCUACUGCCUCGAAUCAGAAGCCCCAGCCUCAUCAUCUGGGGCCAGAGAACUAGGGCAGGAGGAGCCAAGUAGCACAGCAGGAAGCAUGAGUCCCUCCGAGGAGAAGCUGGUCUCUGAGAGGAGCACAGAAUGCAGCAGGCUGGAUAAGCCCCCUGCUGAAAUCAUGGGGUAAAAAAGAGACACAGGGGGAAUGGAGGAGCCAGAGAGAAAGCAGUGUGAUCACAGGCACACAGGACAGCAGCUCACCUUCCCAUCCUUGCUGGCUUUUGCACCCAACAGCCCAAAGCCUCCCCGCUGCAAAUUCUUUUUUUUUUUUUUUUUUGCCAGCCUCACUUCCUCUUGGGGAAGGCUGAGCUCUGGUAGAAGAAGAGAAUGAGAACUGCUGUAAAUACUUCUAAGGGGCCAGGCGUGGUGACUCAUGCUUGUAAUUCCAAGCACUUUGGGAGGCUGAGGCAGGUGGAUCACCUGAAGCCAGGAGUUCAAGAGCAGCCUGGCCAACAUGGCGAAACCCUGUCUCUACUAAAAAUACAAAAUUUAGCCAGGCAUGGUGGCGGGAGCCUGUAAUCUCAGCUCCUAGGGAGGCUGAGCCAGAAGAAUCGCUUAAACCUGGAAGCUGGAGGUUGCAGUGAGCCAAGAUCACACCACCACACUCCAGCCUGGGUGACAGAGCAAGACUCCAUCUCAAAAAGAAAAAAAAGAAAAAAAGGAAAUACUUCUAAGUUAUGUGAGAGAGUACAUACUGACAUUUUCAAUGGGUACAAUAA